This 637-nucleotide ribosomal RNA is filed under the name uncultured Streptococcus sp. Its description in RNAcentral is "bacterial SSU rRNA". It matches the Rfam family "Bacterial small subunit ribosomal RNA", at positions 28 to 650 of the family's 1533-position model. Lineage: Bacteria; Bacillati; Bacillota; Bacilli; Lactobacillales; Streptococcaceae. The record is from RNAcentral.
GACGAACGCUGGCGGCGUGCCUAAUACAUGCAAGUAGAACGCUGAAGGAGGAGCUUGCUUCUCCGGAUGAGUUGCGAACGGGUGAGUAACGCGUAGGUAACCUGCCUGGUAGCGGGGGAUAACUAUUGGAAACGAUAGCUAAUACCGCAUAAGAGUAGAUGUUGCAUGACAUUUGCUUAAAAGGUGCAAUUGCAUCACUACCAGAUGGACCUGCGUUGUAUUAGCUAGUUGGUGGGGUAACGGCUCACCAAGGCGACGAUACAUAGCCGACCUGAGAGGGUGAUCGGCCACACUGGGACUGAGACACGGCCCAGACUCCUACGGGAGGCAGCAGUAGGGAAUCUUCGGCAAUGGACGGAAGUCUGACCGAGCAACGCCGCGUGAGUGAAGAAGGUUUUCGGAUCGUAAAGCUCUGUUGUAAGAGAAGAACGAGUGUGACACUGGAAAGUUCACACUGUGACGGUAUCUUACCAGAGAGGGACGGCUAACUACGUGCCAGCAGCCGCGGUAAUACGUAGGUCCCGAGCGCUGUCCGGAUUUAUUGGGCGUAAAGCGAGCGCAGGCGGUUAGAUAAGUCUGACCCUUUAGGCUGUGGGGUUAACCAUAAUACGCUUUGGAAGCGGUUAACUUGAGUGUC